ACAAACUUGGUCAUUUAGAGGAAGUAAAAGUCGUAACAAGGUCUCCGUAGGUGAACCUGCGGAGGGAUCAUUAUCGAGUCUUACAGCUCCCCGAAAAACCCCCUGUGCACUUAUACCUUGACUGUUGCCUCGGCGGGCGAUCCUCGCCCGCCGGGGGACUCAAGCUCCUGUAUUAUUUGGAUUUUACGCGUCUGAGUGGUGGGAAGACAAACGAAUCAAAACUUUCAACAACGGAUCUCUUGGUUCUGGCAUCGAUGAAGAACGCAGC
This 268-nucleotide unclassified non-coding RNA is filed under the name uncultured fungus. RNAcentral describes it as "partial contains small subunit ribosomal RNA, internal transcribed spacer 1, and 5.8S ribosomal RNA". The stretch from base 1 to 73 matches the Rfam family "Eukaryotic small subunit ribosomal RNA", at positions 1759 to 1831 of the family's 1831-position model. The record is from RNAcentral. Lineage: Eukaryota; Fungi.